This 426-nucleotide ribosomal RNA is filed under the name uncultured bacterium. Its description in RNAcentral is "bacterial SSU rRNA". It matches the Rfam family "Bacterial small subunit ribosomal RNA", at positions 354 to 796 of the family's 1533-position model. The record is from RNAcentral.
GUGGGGAAUCUUGCGCAAUGGGCGAAAGCCUGACGCAGCCAUGCCGCGUGAGUGAAGAAGGUCUUAGGAUUGUAAAGCUCUUUCGCUCGUGACGAUGAUGACGGUAACGAGAGAAGAAGCCCCGGCUAACUUCGUGCCAGCAGCCGCGGUAAUACGAAGGGGGCUAGCGUUGUUCGGAAUUACUGGGCGUAAAGCGCGCGUAGGCGGUUUUGCAAGCCAGAGGUGAAAUGCCUGAGCUCAACUCAGGAAUGGCCUUUGGGACUGCGAGGCUUUGAGGACUGGAGAGGUGAGUGGAAUUCCCAGUGUAGAGGUGAAAUUCGUAGAUAUUGGGAAGAACACCGGUGGCGAAGGCGGCUCACUGGCCAGUUUCUGACGCUGUAGCGCGAAAGCGUGGGGAUCAAACAGGAUUAGAUACCCCGGUAGUCC